UACGAACUGUGCAAACGUUAUUCGGAAUCACUGGGCUUACAGGGUGCGUAGGCGGCUUGCUAAGUAGGGUGUGAAAUCCCCCGGCUUAACCGGGGAACUGCGCCCUAAACUGGCGAGCUGGAGUGAGACAGGGGUGUGUGGAACUUCCGGUGGAGCGGUGAAAUGUGUUGAUAUCGGAAGGAACGCCGGUGGCGAAAGCGACACACUGGGUCUUGUCUGACGCUGAGGCACGAAAGCCAGGGGAGCGAACGGG
RNAcentral lists this ribosomal RNA (253 nucleotides) under uncultured bacterium. Its description in RNAcentral is "partial 16S ribosomal RNA". It matches the Rfam family "Bacterial small subunit ribosomal RNA", at positions 524 to 776 of the family's 1533-position model. The record is from RNAcentral.